RNAcentral lists this ribosomal RNA (465 nucleotides) under Vreelandella stevensii. Its description in RNAcentral is "partial 16S ribosomal RNA". It matches the Rfam family "Bacterial small subunit ribosomal RNA", at positions 338 to 795 of the family's 1533-position model. The record is from RNAcentral. Lineage: Bacteria; Pseudomonadati; Pseudomonadota; Gammaproteobacteria; Oceanospirillales; Halomonadaceae.
CCUACGGAUGGCAGCAGUGGGGAAUAUUGGACAAUGGGGGGAACCCUGAUCCAGCCAUGCCGCGUGUGUGAAGAAGGCCCUCGGGUUGUAAAGCACUUUCAGUGAGGAAGAACGCCUGGUGGUUAAUACCCAUCAGGAAAGACAUCACUCACAGAAGAAGCACCGGCUAACUCCGUGCCAGCAGCCGCGGUAAUACGGAGGGUGCGAGCGUUAAUCGGAAUUACUGGGCGUAAAGCGCGCGUAGGUGGCUUGAUAAGCCGGUUGUGAAAGCCCCGGGCUCAACCUGGGAACGGCAUCCGGAACUGUCAAGCUAGAGUGCAGGAGAGGAAGGUAGAAUUCCCGGUGUAGCGGUGAAAUGCGUAGAGAUCGGGAGGAAUACCAGUGGCGAAGGCGGCCUUCUGGACUGACACUGACACUGAGGUGCGAAAGCGUGGGUAGCAAACAGGAUUAGAUACCCUAGUAGUC